This 253-nucleotide ribosomal RNA is filed under the name uncultured bacterium. RNAcentral's name for it is "partial 16S ribosomal RNA". It matches the Rfam family "Bacterial small subunit ribosomal RNA", at positions 524 to 776 of the family's 1533-position model. The record is from RNAcentral. RNAcentral also lists the same sequence under 1 other name.
UACGUAGGGGGCAAGCGUUGUCCGGAUUUAUUGGGCGUAAAGAGCGUGUAGGCGGCCAGGUAGGUCCGUUGUGAAAACUCGAGGCUCAACCUCGAGACGUCGGCGGAAACCCUCUGGCUAGAGUCCGGAAGAGGAGAGUGGAAUUCCUGGUGUAGCGGUGAAAUGCGCAGAUAUCAGGAAGAACACCCGUGGCGAAGGCGGCUCUCUGGGACGGUACUGACGCUGAGACGCGAAAGCGUGGGGAGCAAACAGG